AGCGAACGCUGGCGGCAGGCUUAACACGUGCAAGUCGAGCGGGCAUCCUUGUGGUGUCAGCGGCAGACGGGUGAGUAACGCGUGGGAACGUGCCCUUCGGUUCGGAAUAACUCAGGGAAACUUGAGCUAAUACCGGAUACGUGCGAGAGCAGAAAGGUUUAUCUGCCGAAGGAUCGGCCCGCGUCUGAUUAGCUAGUUGGUGAGGUUAUGGCUCACCAAGGCGACGAUCAGUAGCUGGUCUGAGAGGAUGAUCAGCCACACUGGGACUGAGACACGGCCCAGACUCCUACGGGAGGCAGCAGUGGGGAAUAUUGGACAAUGGGGGCAACCCUGAUCCAGCCAUGCCGCGUGAGUGAUGACGGCCUUAGGGUUGUAAAGCUCUUUUCUUCGGGACGAUAAUGACGGUACCGGAGGAAUAAGCCCCGGCUAACUUCGUG
Molecule: ribosomal RNA, 437 nt
Filed under: uncultured bacterium
Lineage: Bacteria
Description: partial 16S ribosomal RNA
Rfam family: Bacterial small subunit ribosomal RNA
Source: RNAcentral